This 634-nucleotide ribosomal RNA is filed under the name uncultured bacterium. RNAcentral describes it as "bacterial SSU rRNA". The stretch from base 1 to 540 matches the Rfam family "Bacterial small subunit ribosomal RNA", at positions 338 to 873 of the family's 1533-position model. The record is from RNAcentral.
CCUACGGGAGGCAGCAGUGGGGAAUUUUGGACAAUGGGCGCAAGCCUGAUCCAGCAAUGCCGCGUGAGUGAAGAAGGCCUUCGGGUUGUAAAGCUCUUUUGUCAGGGAAGAAACGGUGGUUCCUAAUACGGACUACUAAUGACGGUACCUGAAGAAUAAGCACCGGCUAACUACGUGCCAGCAGCCGCGGUAAUACGUAGGGUGCAAGCGUUAAUCGGAAUUACUGGGCGUAAAGCGUGCGCAGGCGGUUAUAUAAGUCAGAUGUGAAAUCCCCGGGCUCAACCUGGGAACUGCAUUUGAGACUGUAUGGCUAGAGUGUGUCAGAGGGGGGUAGAAUUCCACGUGUAGCAGUGAAAUGCGUAGAUAUGUGGAGGAAUACCGAUGGCGAAGGCAGCCCCCUGGGAUAACACUGACGCUCAUGCACGAAAGCGUGGGGAGCAAACAGGAUUAGAUACCCUGGUAGUCCACGCCCUAAACGAUGUCUACUAGUUGUCGGGACUUAAUUGUCUUGGUAACGCAGCUACGCGUGAGUAGACCGCCGUCGGGAGGUACGGUCGCGAGAAGUUAAACGUAACAAGUAGAAGUUAGUACGGCGUGAGACGUAGACCGACGGACGACGACGAGGGGAGGAGGG